CCUACGGGAGGCAGCAGUGAGGAAUAUUGGUCAAUGGACGGAAGCCUGAACCAGCCAAGUCGCGUGAGGGAUUAAGGCCCUGCGGGUCGUAAACCUCUUUUGCAGGGGAGCAAUGGUCCCGACGCGUCCGGUCCGGGAGAGUACACGGAGAAAAAGCAUCGGCUAAUUCGGGACCAGCAGCUGCGUUAAUACGGAGGAUGCGAGCUUUAUCGGGUUUUAUUGGGUUUAAAGGGUGCGUGGGCGGGCGUUUAAGCCGUCGGUAAAAUUUCGGGGUGCAACCCCGGCCUGCCGUCGAAACUGGGUGCCUUGAGUGCGCGAGAAGUAUGCGGAAUGCGUGGUGUAGCGGUGAAAUGCAUAGAUAUCACGCAGAACCCCGAUUGCGAAGGCAGCAUACCGGCGCCCUACUGACGCUGAGGCACGAAAGUGCGGGUAUCGAACAGGAUUAGAUACCCUUGUAGUC
This 460-nucleotide ribosomal RNA is filed under the name uncultured bacterium. RNAcentral's name for it is "partial 16S ribosomal RNA". It matches the Rfam family "Bacterial small subunit ribosomal RNA", at positions 338 to 795 of the family's 1533-position model. The record is from RNAcentral.